UGGGCGGUAUUUAUUAAAAGCUGUACCAAUAUUAUUUAUAUACAUAUAUCUGCUUAUAUCAUUUGAAUAAGACAGUCAA
Molecule: non-coding RNA, 79 nt
Filed under: Clostridiaceae bacterium BL-3
Lineage: Bacteria; Bacillati; Bacillota; Clostridia; Eubacteriales; Clostridiaceae
Description: pan
Rfam family: pan motif
Source: RNAcentral